RNAcentral lists this non-coding RNA (183 nucleotides) under Opitutia bacterium. RNAcentral describes it as "6S RNA". It matches the Rfam family "6S / SsrS RNA". From Rfam's summary of the family: E. coli 6S RNA was the first non coding RNA to be sequenced, but its function was unknown until recently. It consists of 184 nucleotides that fold into an extended hairpin structure with a large single-stranded internal bulge. The 6S RNA specifically associates with RNA polymerase holoenzyme containing the sigma70 specificity factor. The record is from RNAcentral. Lineage: Bacteria; Pseudomonadati; Verrucomicrobiota; Opitutia.
UUUACUCUGCGGUGUUUCGGGAAGUGGAUAAGCAUUUUCCCUUACUCCUUUAAAAACGGGGGCCAAUCAGUGUUCAGCGGCUGCCAAGCCGUAAAUCGGAAGACAAAAGCUGAACCAGAAGUUCCCACCUUUAACACUUGAAGGUAAAAGCUUUCUAAUGUUACCGGCACUGGCGGAGAGAAG